GACGAACGCUGGCGGCGUGCUUAACACAUGCAAGUCGAGCGGUAAGGCCCGUUUCGGGGGUACACGAGCGGCGAACGGGUGAGUAACACGUGGGUGACCUGCCCUCAGCUCUGGGAUAAGCCUGGGAAACUGGGUCUAAUACUGGAUAUGACUCCACGGUGCAUGUCGUGGGGUGGAAAGCCUUGUGCGGCUGAGGAUGGGCCCGCGGCCUAUCAGCUUGUUGGUGGGGUGANGGCCUACCAAGGCGACGACGGUAGCCGGCCUGAGAGGCGACCGGCCACAC
RNAcentral lists this ribosomal RNA (283 nucleotides) under uncultured bacterium. Its description in RNAcentral is "partial 16S ribosomal RNA". It matches the Rfam family "Bacterial small subunit ribosomal RNA", at positions 28 to 313 of the family's 1533-position model. The record is from RNAcentral.